GAGGGAAUAGUUUAAUGGUAGAACAACAGACUUUCAUGCUGGAUAUACCGGUUCGAAUCCGGUUUCCCUUU
Molecule: transfer RNA, 71 nt
Filed under: Parabacteroides distasonis
Lineage: Bacteria; Pseudomonadati; Bacteroidota; Bacteroidia; Bacteroidales; Tannerellaceae
Also listed under: 5 other names
Description: tRNA-Glu
Rfam family: tRNA
About the family: Transfer RNA (tRNA) molecules are approximately 80 nucleotides in length. Their secondary structure includes four short double-helical elements and three loops (D, anti-codon, and T loops).
Source: RNAcentral